This 335-nucleotide unclassified non-coding RNA is filed under the name Hevea brasiliensis (rubber tree). The record is from RNAcentral. Lineage: Eukaryota; Viridiplantae; Streptophyta; Magnoliopsida; Malpighiales; Euphorbiaceae.
GUGCUCAGGGUACUCAGGUAACUUCUCUUAUAUUUUUGGAUAAGCAUAAUUGUCCAACCUUUUAAAAACGUGCUUCGUGUAAGAAGUGCAUUUCCAAUUGGCUCCUUAUAGUUGCAUUGCUGGGAAAAAUCCCCUCUCAUGGCAUUAUUUGCUUUUGCUCUUCUCUCUUGUCAAAUAGAGAGUUCAAACAUUUCAAAGAAAUUGGAUGUUAUAUUUUUGAGGAUUCGUUUCACUUUCUCUCAGUGAAGUUGAUUGUGAUGUGGAGUCCCCGGUGGGGAGUGUUUUGGGCGAUUGGAGAUUGUUCUCAAGUCAAUUAGAAAAUCGGUGAUAAAGCU